UUCCAGGUGGCCCAGCAGUUGAGACUCUGCACUCUCAAUGCAGAGAGCCCAGGUUCGAUCCCUGAUCAGGGAA
Molecule: transfer RNA, 73 nt
Filed under: Bos taurus (domestic cattle)
Lineage: Eukaryota; Metazoa; Chordata; Mammalia; Artiodactyla; Bovidae
Also listed under: 4 other names
Rfam family: tRNA
About the family: Transfer RNA (tRNA) molecules are approximately 80 nucleotides in length. Their secondary structure includes four short double-helical elements and three loops (D, anti-codon, and T loops). Further hydrogen bonds mediate the characteristic L-shaped molecular structure. tRNAs have two regions of fundamental functional importance: the anti-codon, which is responsible for specific mRNA codon recognition, and the 3' end, to which the tRNAs corresponding amino acid is attached (by aminoacyl-tRNA synthetases). tRNAs cope with the degeneracy of the genetic code in two manners: having more than one tRNA (with a specific anti-codon) for a particular amino acid; and 'wobble' base-pairing, i.e. permitting non-standard base-pairing at the 3rd anti-codon position.
Source: Rfam by way of RNAcentral